CUUCAAAUUUGUUAUACUUGUUUAUAACUAAGAAAUUGAGAGGUGUGUAAAAUUUUAAAUAAGAUCGAUAAUUUAAUCAAAAGAUAUUGAAGUUUUAAACUAUCUUAGGAUUUGGUUAGGAUUUGAUUUAGGAUUUAGAGUUUGGUUAAGGUUUGAUUAGGAUUUGAUUUAGUAUUUAGGAUUUAGUUAGGAUUUAGUUUAGGAUUUAGGAUUUGGUUAGGAUUUAGUUAGGAUUUGAUUUAAGAUUUAAGAUUUAAUUAGGAUUGAUUUAAGAUUUAGGAUUUUGUAUAAGGUUUAGGAUUUGUUUAGAGUUUGAUUGAAGUCCAUU
Molecule: long non-coding RNA, 328 nt
Filed under: Physcomitrium patens
Lineage: Eukaryota; Viridiplantae; Streptophyta; Bryopsida; Funariales; Funariaceae
Description: long non-coding RNA (PPAT_LNC012412)
Source: RNAcentral